UUGUAAAAAAUUCAACGUUGAUUUAGAAGUGUUUCUGCCUUUUAACGUAUUAUUAUGAUAAUUAAUUAGCAUUUAAUGAUUUUUUGAUCAUAACAGCUCUUCAAUGUAUAUGUUAAAAUACAAUUAUUAUCAUUAUUAACAAUAAUAGUUUCACCCUCAAGAGAGCAGUGCAGCAGAAACCUUUUGCCUUAUGUGAUUUUGUGUGAAUUUACAAUUUUGUCCGCUUGCCUAACAGUUUACAUUGCAUUAUUACAUUUGUAUUCAUACACUGUCAUGUCAUUUGACCAAUUAAUUAAAUAAUAAUACAGACUGCAAAUAAAACUUAAUACACAGCUGCGUUAACUCGCGCAAACUAUUGCUAUUGUUAUUGGUUGUUUCGCCGUUUUACUUUGAGCAUGAUUGGUUAAUCUGUCUGUUUUACAGGAAACUGUCCAAUGAGAAUGUGCGCGGCUCUGCGCGCCUAUUUUAAAUUUGAAAAUAUGUCCGUUAAUCUCGGUCGGAGCAGCUGCUUUGCGUUGAUUACUCGGUCAGACCUGGAUUAUUUUAUAUCUGCCUGUUGAAUUCUUACAUUUUGAGCGAAUUUUAGUUGAUAUGACAAUGAAGAUCAAAAGCUGGAAUGUGAACAGAGGAAGGGGUCGUACGUGGUCUGUAAAUACUGGCGAUAUCAGAUCAAGCUUUGUAAUAAGAUUUUUAUCGGGGGAGAACACCCAACAGAAAGACCCAUGAUUCACCAACUGGCGCACUGAAAGGGGAGAUUCAUGUCACCUU
This is a long non-coding RNA of Cyprinus carpio (common carp), 768 nucleotides long. RefSeq lists it as uncharacterized. NCBI's taxonomy places the organism in Eukaryota, Metazoa, Chordata, Actinopteri, Cypriniformes, Cyprinidae. The record is from RefSeq and is a predicted model, not a curated record. The transcript is spliced from 3 exons.